Long non-coding RNA from Salvia miltiorrhiza (redroot sage), 1046 nucleotides. RefSeq lists it as uncharacterized. The transcript is spliced from 2 exons. The record is from RefSeq and is a predicted model, not a curated record. NCBI's taxonomy places the organism in Eukaryota, Viridiplantae, Streptophyta, Magnoliopsida, Lamiales, Lamiaceae.
UUUUCCUCUCUCUUCUCCACCCCAUUUUCGAUCUCUCUCCCUCUCCCUCAUCUCUCACUUCACUUUCCUCCAUUGUUAGCCAUUGAUGAAACCUUCGAAGCUUCACCCAAGUAUGCCAAACACAUAAAUCACUACUUAAAUCCUCCAUAAACACAUCCUAUUAACUUGAAUUCAAGAGAAUCCUUGAAGGAAGGCUUCAAGACUAGAGAGAGAAAGUUUGAGUUUUGGUGAAGAACUUGAACACAAGCAGAGCAAGGAAAUAAGUAACUCCGCUUUGACGGGAGUUUUUGAGUAAGGUCUUCAGGUGGGCAAUAUUUUGAGUAUAUGUUUAUCAUAUGAGCUUUCUAAAAUGAUGUAAUGAUGUUAAGAACUUAUCAAAUGUUUUGAGAUAAAUGAUGUUUGAGAACUGUUUGACUUGCCGAUUUUUGAUGUUGAGCUUGUGUGUUACCCUCUACUGAUGAGACGAAUUCGGUCCUGCCACAAGCGGGAUUUUGUGCACAGAGGUGACUGUGAGCCGUCUUCGGGUCGGCCGGUCACGGUACUUGAGAGGGAGGCCUACUUCUCAGUACCUUUGAUGAUGAGUAGUGGAUGUGGUACAUACAUGAUGAAUGUUUAAACUGCGCAGUUACUUAUUUAUGAUGUUGAUUAUGAAAACUGCAUGCACAGAUUCAUUGAUACUAACUUAUUUCUGUGUAUUGCUGAGAUGUGGCAAGCUUCAAACUUAUAGCUCUAAGAGCGCCUUUCUUGUUUUUCGGCGUUUGCCCACUGAGUAUUAUAUACUCACGCCCUGCAUGUAUUUCUAAAUGUGCAGGCUAAGCGAGGAGUGAGAUUGGUCUGGUGCUGGUGGGGGAUCGUUAGAUGACGUAUUUGCUUUAUCGUAUUUCCUUUUUAUCGAUAAAGUCUUGAUGUGAAGUUACUUUAAAUAUGAAUCAAGUAAUAUACUCACGGUUAUGUGUCUCCAUACAUGUAACUGGUUCGCCUUUUGCUGCGACACUCUGCAUUUUAUGUUUCCUUAUGAAAAAUAAGCUAUACCUGUUUUGUUUUUG